CAGCAGCCGCGGGAAUACGUAGGGUGCGAGCGUUAAGCGGAAUUACUGGGCGUAAAGCGUGCGCAGGCGGUUGUGUAAGACAGGUGUGAAAUCCCCGGGCUUAACCUGGGAACUGCGCUUGUGACUGCACAGCUAGAGUAUGGCAGAGGGGGGUGGAAUUCCACGUGUAGCAGUGAAAUGCGUAGAGAUGUGGAGGAACACCGAUGGCGAAGGCAGCCCCCUGGGCCAAUACUGACGCUCAUGCACGAAAGCGUGGGGAGCAAACAGGAUUAGAUACCCGCGUAGUCCCUGUCUCUUAUAC
Molecule: ribosomal RNA, 301 nt
Filed under: uncultured bacterium
Lineage: Bacteria
Description: partial 16S ribosomal RNA
Rfam family: Bacterial small subunit ribosomal RNA
Source: RNAcentral